This 254-nucleotide ribosomal RNA is filed under the name uncultured bacterium. Its description in RNAcentral is "partial 16S ribosomal RNA". It matches the Rfam family "Bacterial small subunit ribosomal RNA", at positions 524 to 777 of the family's 1533-position model. The record is from RNAcentral.
UACGUAGGGGGCAAGCGUUGUCCGGAAUCAUUGGGCGUAAAGAGCGUGUAGGCGGCCAGAAAAGUCCGCUGUGAAAACUCGAGGCUCAACUUCGAGCUGUCGGUGGAAACUUUCUGGCUAGAGUCCGGAAGAGGAGACUGGAAUUCCUGGUGUAGCGGUGAAAUGCGCAGAUAUCAGGAGGAACACCGGUGGCGAAGGCGGGUCUCUGGGCAACAACUGACGCUGAGGAGCGAAAGCGUGGGGAGCGAACAGGA